Molecule: ribosomal RNA, 550 nt
Filed under: uncultured bacterium
Lineage: Bacteria
Description: bacterial SSU rRNA
Rfam family: Bacterial small subunit ribosomal RNA
Source: RNAcentral
UAGGGAAUCUUCCGCAAUGGGCGAAAGCCUGACGGAGCAACGCCGCGUGAGUGAUGAAGGUCUUCGGAUCGUAAAACUCUGUUAUUAGGGAAGAACAAAUGUGUAAGUAACUAUGCACGUCUUGACGGUACCUAAUCAGAAAGCCACGGCUAACUACGUGCCAGCAGCCGCGGUAAUACGUAGGUGGCAAGCGUUAUCCGGAAUUAUUGGGCGUAAAGCGCGCGUAGGCGGUUUUUUAAGUCUGAUGUGAAAGCCCACGGCUCAACCGUGGAGGGUCAUUGGAAACUGGAAAACUUGAGUGCAGAAGAGGAAAGUGGAAUUCCAUGUGCAGCGGUGAAAUGCGCAGAGAUAUGGAGGAACACCAGUGGCGAAGGCGACUUUCUGGUCUGUAACUGACGCUGAUGUGCGAAAGCGUGGGGAUCAAACAGGAUUAGAUACCCUGGUAGUCCACGCCGUAAACGAUGAGUGCUAAGUGUUAGGGGGUUUCCGCCCCUUAGUGCUGCAGCUAACGCAUUAAGCACUCCGCCUGGGGAGUACGACCGCAAGGUUG